This 503-nucleotide long non-coding RNA is filed under the name Vitis vinifera (wine grape). RNAcentral describes it as "long non-coding RNA (VVIN_LNC006996)". The record is from RNAcentral. Lineage: Eukaryota; Viridiplantae; Streptophyta; Magnoliopsida; Vitales; Vitaceae.
AAACAAUGGAAUUCAUAGAAUCAACUCAUGCGAAAUUAAUUAGGGCUUUGGUGGGGGCCCGACAUUCACAAAUAUUCUCUUUGAUAGUGUUUGUUUGAUAUUCGAUUGAUUGUGCUUCCUCUUUGUGGUAUAUAUGAGAUUGUUUUUAAUCUGUUAUUUGGCUAAUUUUGUUUCCCAUAGAGAAGUACUAGCUUGCUACCCAGGUAUGCUCUUCCUCACUUAUUUUCGAGAAUUAUGUGGGCACGUAUGCUAUUGGUGAUUAGAUCCAUACAUGAUGUGAUUCUUAGGUGUUCAAAUACAUGCUUGAUUUGCUUAGAUAAAAUAAAUGUUGUAUCACAUUUUCAAACUAAUCUUUGAUGUCCUUUUGAUAGCGCUUAAGAAGUGAUUCAGGUACGUAUCCUAACUCUCCUUUAUCGUGAUUUGAUCUUGUUUGGCAUGUUAUUUUUGAAAUCACCUUGCUUACUUAAGUAUCCAUGAUCAACCAUUUAAUUGCCACGUUUCCC